Molecule: ribosomal RNA, 445 nt
Filed under: uncultured bacterium
Lineage: Bacteria
Description: partial 16S ribosomal RNA
Rfam family: Bacterial small subunit ribosomal RNA
Source: RNAcentral
GUAGGGAAUAUUGGUCAAUGGACGAAAGUCUGAACCAGCCAUUCCGCGUGCAGGAAGAAGAUUCUAUGGAUUGUAAACUGCUUUUAGCAGAGAAGAAACGCCUUCAUUGAUGAGGGUUUGACGGUAUCUGCGGAAUAAGCACCGGCUAACUCCGUGCCAGCAUCCGCGGUAAUACGGGGGGUGCAAGCGUUAUCCGGAAUCACUGGGUUUAAAGGGUGCGUAGGCGGGAAAUUAAGUCAGUGGUGAAAGUCUGUUGCUUAACGAUAGAAUUGCCGUUGAUACUGAUUAUCUUGAAUUGGGUUGAGGUUAGCGGAAUGUGACAUGUAGCGGUGAAAUGCAUAGAUAUGUCAUGGAACACCAAUUGCGAAGGCAGCUAGCUGGGCCUUGAUUGACGCUGAGGCACGAAAGCGUGGGUAGCGAACAGGAUUAGAUACCCCUGUAGUCC